RNAcentral lists this ribosomal RNA (625 nucleotides) under uncultured bacterium. RNAcentral's name for it is "bacterial SSU rRNA". It matches the Rfam family "Bacterial small subunit ribosomal RNA", at positions 864 to 1489 of the family's 1533-position model. The record is from RNAcentral.
GUAAUCCACCUGGGGAGUACGGCCGCAAGGCUAAAACUCAAAGGAAUUGACGGGGGCCCGCACAAGCAGUGGAGUAUGUGGUUUAAUUCGAGGCAACGCGAAGAACCUUACCAGGGUUUGACAUCCCGCGCCAUAGGUAGAGAUACUUAGUUCCCUUCGGGGACGCGGAGACAGGUGGUGCAUGGUUGUCGUCAGCUCGUGUCGUGAGAUGUUCGGUUAAGUCCGGCAACGAGCGCAACCCUCGUGGCCAGUUGCCAUCAUUUAGUUGGGCACUUUGGCCAGACUGCCGUUGACAAAACGGAGGAAGGUGGGGAUGACGUCAAAUCAUCAUGCCCCUUAUAUCCUGGGCUACACACGUACUACAAUGGGCGUUACAACGGGCAGCCACACCGCGAGGUGGAGCGAAUCCCCAAAGGCGUCCUCAGUUCGGAUUGCAGGCUGCAACUCGCCUGCAUGAAGCCGGAAUUGCUAGUAAUGGCAGGUCAGCAUACUGCCGUGAAUACGUUCCCGGGCCUUGUACACACCGCCCGUCACACCAUGAGAGUCUGUAACACCUGAAGUCGGUAGUCUAACCUGCAAAGGAGGACGCCGCCGAAGGUGGGACAGAUAAUUGGGGUGAAGUCGU